Molecule: long non-coding RNA, 565 nt
Organism: Gigantopelta aegis
Lineage: Eukaryota; Metazoa; Mollusca; Gastropoda; Neomphalida; Peltospiridae
Exons: 4
Source: RefSeq, a predicted model, not a curated record
AUUUUUUAAUAACUGGAUUUUGGCAACAUCCUAUUAACCAGAAACUAUGAUGGUGAUUGUGAGCACAGAAGUGCGAUGUAUAAACAUUUUAGUCAUGUGACAGACUGUCUUUGGUGUAGGAUCAAGAAGUAGGCCAGAACUUAAUUGCAGACCCGACAGUGUUCUGCAACACUUGUCACAACAUAAUGACUGGAAGUCUGCUUUCAUUGAUCUAAUGAAAAACUGUGCUGCAGUCAUCAGGGCUGAUGGAACACUAGCAGCAGCAAUAACGGGGAUGGGUCUUUUGUCAUUUCUUAUGACUCUGGAGUCUUCUUUAUUGGGCAUGUCAAGUCCAGCUUUAACAGAUGGGAUUUUUUUUUUUUCAGUCUCUUCCAGAUUCAUGGACAUUUGUAUGUCCGUUACUUUGAAUCUGGAAGGCUGUCUGGAUUUUUCAGAUCCAAAGGCCUUAAUAUAAUACGGAAGUCGGUUGGUGGCAGUUACCACACACAUAACAUUUUCCAUCUUCAAGUCUUCAAUGCCACUGACAUUGAACAACACCAAAAGAAGAUCAAGGAAAGACUUGAGG